Molecule: non-coding RNA, 79 nt
Organism: Merluccius polli (Benguela hake)
Lineage: Eukaryota; Metazoa; Chordata; Actinopteri; Gadiformes; Merlucciidae
Source: the annotation of a GenBank genome assembly
GUGGCCGUGACUAACUCAACGGGUAGAGCAUGGCAUUAACAUUCCCAGGGCUAGGGGGUUCGAUUCCCGCUGGACCACA